Long non-coding RNA from Zingiber officinale, 885 nucleotides. RefSeq lists it as uncharacterized. The transcript has 3 exons. NCBI's taxonomy places the organism in Eukaryota, Viridiplantae, Streptophyta, Magnoliopsida, Zingiberales, Zingiberaceae. The record is from RefSeq and is a predicted model, not a curated record.
GCACUACAAGAACAAGUGCCAGACAGUGGUGACUCUGUGCCUAGCAAAGUUCAGAUUUCAGAAGAACAAACGGCGCAGAUGGAAACCAACCACUUGAAAGCACUAGAAAGGGCUGCAGCUCGUCCUCGUUCACAGUCACAAGCAUCUUGAAUUCUUCUAGUAGAGUAUGGCCAGAGAGUGAGGAAGUGUUCUGCGGUUGGGUUUGCACUUAUGCAUAUCCUGUCAAGUAUAGCAAUAGCCCUAAUGUUCACUUGGGUAUGUUUAAAUAGUUUGUUUUGGCAAGUUUGUUGUUAUUGGUUGUUUGUAGGCUUUCCAAGUGCGAAAAAUUAUGUGAUUUCUUGAGAUCUGAUACUGAUGGAUGAUCAGCCAUGCUGUUGAGUCUCUGAUCCGGCUCUUCAUCCUGUGUGGCAAUACCAACCUGUUUUUGUCAACUUUUGAAUAGAUGGAACAUGGACUCAUCUUAUGAAUUGCAGAAGACACAGUCAUACAGAGGAUCAAUCAUUGGUGCUCCGACUCUGAUGAGCCAUGCCAUAGAGUUCAGUCUAUUAUUUAGCAACCAGACAAAGAUCUUUUUCUUUGGAGCAAAGACUGACCACUGUGUGGCCAUCUGAGAGUUUUUAGAACAACUAUUACUUGAGUAGAAUAAACAUCUUUAUCCACUUUGGAGGAAAGGAUCAUCAUGUUCUAGGAAAUAUAUGUUCUCGGAAGUAUGCUAAACUUAAGCAUUGUAAACACUUUUAUCAUCUUUGGAGUGAAGGAUGAGCAUGCUCUUGGAGCUUUAUGUUCUGAAGUAUGUUAAACUUAUGCAUUCUGCCUAGGUAUUUCAAGUUCACCUGUAAGUUCUCUGAUGUCUGGCAUUCAACCCAAGUCCAAUAUAAUGUAAUU